This 207-nucleotide ribosomal RNA is filed under the name uncultured bacterium. RNAcentral's name for it is "partial 16S ribosomal RNA". It matches the Rfam family "Bacterial small subunit ribosomal RNA", at positions 30 to 234 of the family's 1533-position model. The record is from RNAcentral.
AUUGAACGCUGGCGGAUGCUUUACACAUGCAAGUCGAACGGCAGCACGGGGGCAACCCUGGUGGCGAGUGGCGAACGGGUGAGUAAUACAUCGGAACGUGUCCCAGGUCGUGGGGGAUAACGUAGCGAAAGCUACGCUAAUACCGCAUACGAACUGAGGUUGAAAGUCGGGGGAUCGGCAAGACCUCGCGCGAUCGGAGCGGCCGAU